This 67-nucleotide transfer RNA is filed under the name Aporrectodea caliginosa. Its description in RNAcentral is "tRNA-Ser". The record is from RNAcentral. Lineage: Eukaryota; Metazoa; Annelida; Clitellata; Crassiclitellata; Lumbricidae. RNAcentral also lists the same sequence under 1 other name.
GGCCUGAAGUUUCGGAAACACUGGACCUUGAACGUCCACUUAAGAUGUUCAACUCAUCUUCAAGCCU